GACGCACGCUGGCGGCAUGCCUAACACAUGCAAGUCGACCGCGCCCUCCGGGUCUUGUGUCGCACUUGUGCGUAACGCGUUGGAAACCGCCCUUAGGUUUGGAAUCACUCCCCGGAUGGGGUGCUAUUACCGGUUACUUUCUUCGGGCCCCAAAUUUAUCGCCUUUGGAUGGGCCCGCGUUGGUUUAGCUAGUUGUUAGGGUAGAAGCCUCCCAAGGCGACGAUCCUUAGCUGGUCUGGGAGGAUGAUCAGCCACACUGGGACUGAGACACGGCCCAGACUCCUGCGGGAGGCAGCAGUGGGGAAUAUUGGACAACGGGCGAAAGCCUGAUCCAGCAAUGCCGCGUGAGUGAUGAAGGCCUUAGGGUUGUAAAGCUCUUUUGCCCGUGAUGAGAAUGACAGUACCGGGAGAAUAAGCACCGGCUAACUCCGUG
This 433-nucleotide ribosomal RNA is filed under the name uncultured bacterium. Its description in RNAcentral is "partial 16S ribosomal RNA". It matches the Rfam family "Bacterial small subunit ribosomal RNA", at positions 28 to 507 of the family's 1533-position model. The record is from RNAcentral.